Molecule: ribosomal RNA, 253 nt
Filed under: uncultured bacterium
Lineage: Bacteria
Description: partial 16S ribosomal RNA
Rfam family: Bacterial small subunit ribosomal RNA
Source: RNAcentral
UACGAGGGGGGCUAGUGUUGUUCGGAAUCACUGGGCGUAAAGGGAGCGUAGGCGGGAGCCUAAGUUGGGUGUUUAAUUCCGGGGCCCAACCCCGGGCGUGCACUCAAAACUGGGUUUCUUGAAUAGGGGAGAGGUCGGUGGAAUUGGAGGUGUAGCGGUGGAAUGCGUAGAGAUCUCCAAGAACACCCGUUGCGAAGGCGGCCGACUGGACCCAUAUUGACGCUGAGGCUCGAAAGCAUGGGGAGCAAACGGG